CUUUGUUUGCUCCUGAGAGGAAGGCAGCCACCCCAAGGUCAGCGCCAGGCAAUGGUACUUCCAGAGGAUGGCGACUGACAAUCUAGUCCUUGGACUCUACCGAGGACCAAGAGCCCCAUAGGUUUCUUCUCUCAUGACUGGCCCAGGCCACAGGACCAUGUUUCAUCCAGUUUCUGCUGCAGAGACAGAUGAUGCUCAGGUCGAUGAUGUCUGUUUCUGGAGCUGGAGCUAACUAAGACUAAGAGACAUUCUCCUGGAAAGCUGGAAAAAGAAAAAGGAACACAAAGUGGAAUUUUUCUGGGACUAGAAAUCUCAAAGAGGAUCACGGAAGUAUCUGUAAAAUUAGUGAAGAAAGACAUGAAGUUCAAGGUAGGGAUAUCUGAGUGGAAGGAACUUCCCUCAUUGAGAGAGAAAGAUAGGCUCAUCUGAAGAAUAAGUUUGUGUCUAAGUUUCUUGUACAUACCCACAAAAGGGAUACAUAGAAGAACCACAGUAUAAUAGAAAACAAAGGAGCAUUUUCAUAAAUUAAAACAGGGUCAGCUCCUAUAUUUGAGAGGUCCACAGAGUUAUGUUACAGCCCUGUUAAAGGGCCCAAAGAAAAGUGUUGCAAUUCCUCUUUGGCUUGAGACUGACUGAAGGAGAGAAAGGUGUUUCACUUUAAUCCCAAGGACCUCUAAUGCUUCAAGUGCAUAUUCACCAUACACAGAGGAGGGGCCUUGAGGAAUAAGAUUACAUGAUCCUGGAGGGCAGGACGUUGGCCUUUGUCUUUGGUUUGUUUCUUGACAGCAUGGCAUAUUGGAUGAACA
This 806-nucleotide long non-coding RNA is filed under the name Chinchilla lanigera (long-tailed chinchilla). RNAcentral describes it as "lncRNA (ENSCLAG00000027889.1)". The record is from RNAcentral. Lineage: Eukaryota; Metazoa; Chordata; Mammalia; Rodentia; Chinchillidae.